This is a long non-coding RNA of Phyllostomus discolor (pale spear-nosed bat), 770 nucleotides long. RefSeq lists it as uncharacterized. The transcript has 2 exons. Lineage: Eukaryota; Metazoa; Chordata; Mammalia; Chiroptera; Phyllostomidae. The record is from RefSeq and is a predicted model, not a curated record.
GUAAGAUUUUAGAUACAAGUCUUUAUCAAAUGUACACAUUACAAAUAUUUUCUACCAAUCUGUAGCCACCUGUUCAUUUUUUGAUAAUGUCUUGUGAUAAGCAGAAAUUUUUAAUUUUGUGGAAGUCCUUGCUACCCCUUUAAAGUACAAUUGACACGGAAAUCAUGUAAAGUGCAAUCAUAAUCUGAUAAGCAUUUGUCACGUCCAGAAGAAUGCACACUGGGGCCCAAAUGGGUUUUCAGUAAGAGACCUCGAUCUGUCGCUGCCUUCUGCUCCAGGGUUUCUUCCACCACUCUGACCUGACUAAAUGGCUCUCCAGUUUUAAGUCUUUUCCCCCCUGACUUUUAAGAUCAUUUUGAAUGAUUCACUGACUUCUAAUAUUUUAGUGUACUGUCUUAUUUAUGCCACCAAAUUGAGAUUUAUCUGGACUCCUUUUUCAAAGUCAACAAAAUGGGUAUUAAUAAGGAACAGGCACUCGAUAUAUUUUCCAGGUUGCCAAAAGCUAACAGGUCCCUAGCAGGAGAUCUACUUUUAUAGGCUUUUAUUACUGGAUUUCUUAAACCUGGUAGCCAUCAGGUGAAAUCCUGACUGAGCAUACUGUGCCCACAUCAGCAUUUGUCUUUGUCUUCUUUGGAACACGAUGGAACACCAGUCAGUGAAUACAUGUGGUGAAAAAGGAUGCACAAUCUUUAUCAGGCAAUGAUGAAUGAACUGAAUACUGAAAUUUAAACUGGUAAUAAAUGGUGCUGCCUAGACUUUAUUAUUUAAAA